AUACGGAGGGUCCAAGCGUUAUCCGGAUUCAUGGGGUUUAAAGGGUCCGCAGGCGGGAAAAUAAGUCAGUGGUGAAAGCCUACAGCUCAACUGUAGAACUGCCAUUGAAACUGUUUUUCUUGAGUAUAGAUGAAGUGGGCGGAAUAUAUCAUGUAGCGGUGAAAUGCAUAGAUAUGAUAUAGAACACCGAUUGCGAAGGCAGCUCACUAAACUAUUACUGACGCUCAGGGACGAAAGCGUGGGGAGCGAACAGGAUUAGAUACCCCGGUAGUCC
RNAcentral lists this ribosomal RNA (274 nucleotides) under uncultured bacterium. RNAcentral's name for it is "partial 16S ribosomal RNA". It matches the Rfam family "Bacterial small subunit ribosomal RNA", at positions 523 to 796 of the family's 1533-position model. The record is from RNAcentral.